GAACGCUAGCUACAGGCUUAACACAUGCAAGUCGAGGGGAAACGACAUCGAAAGCUUGCUUUUGAUGGGCGUCGACCGGCGCACGGGUGAGUAACGCGUAUCCAACCUGCCCACCACCUGGGGAUAACCUUGCGAAAGUAAGACUAAUACCCAAUGAUAUCUCUAGAAGACAUCUGAAAGAGAUUAAAGAUUUAUCGGUGAUGGAUGGGGAUGCGUCUGAUUAGCUUGUUGGCGGGGUAACGGCCCACCAAGGCGACGAUCAGUAGGGGUUCUGAGAGGAAGGUCCCCCACAUUGGAACUGAGACACGGUCCAAACUCCUACGGGAGGCAGCAGUGAGGAAUAUUGGUCAAUGGGCGAGAGCCUGAACCAGCCAAGUAGCGUGCAGGAUGACGGCCCUAUGGGUUGUAAACUGCUUUUAUAAGGGAAUAAAGUGAGUCUCGUGAGACUUUUUGCAUGUACCUUAUGAAUAAGGACCGGCUAAUUCCGUGCCAGCAGCCGCGGUAAUACGGAAGGUCCGGGCGUUAUCCGGAUUUAUUGGGUUUAAAGGGAGCGUAGGCCGGAGAUUAAGCGUGUUGUGAAAUGUAGAUGCUCAACAUCUGAACUGCAGCGCGAACUGGUUUCCUUGAGUACGCACAAAGUGGGCGGAAUUCGUGGUGUAGCGGUGAAAUGCUUAGAUAUCACGAAGAACUCCGAUUGCGAAGGCAGCUCACUGGAGCGCAACUGACGCUGAAGCUCGAAAGUGCGGGUAUCGAACAGGAUUAGAUACCCUGGUAGUCCGCACGGUAAACGAUGGAUGCCCGCUGUUGGUCUGAAUAGGUCAGCGGCCAAGCGAAAGCAUUAAGCAUCCCACCUGGGGAGUACGCCGGCAACGGUGAAAC
Molecule: ribosomal RNA, 879 nt
Filed under: uncultured bacterium
Lineage: Bacteria
Description: bacterial SSU rRNA
Rfam family: Bacterial small subunit ribosomal RNA
Source: RNAcentral